RNAcentral lists this unclassified non-coding RNA (395 nucleotides) under soil metagenome. RNAcentral describes it as "partial contains 5.8S ribosomal RNA, internal transcribed spacer 2, and large subunit ribosomal RNA". The stretch from base 1 to 120 matches the Rfam family "5.8S ribosomal RNA", at positions 35 to 154 of the family's 154-position model. The record is from RNAcentral.
GAUGAAGAACGUAGCGAAAUGCGAUAAGUAAUGUGAAUUGCAGAAUUCAGUGAAUCAUCGAAUCUUUGAACGCACAUUGCGCCCGCCAGUACUCUGGCGGGCAUGCCUGUUCGAGCGUCAUCUCACCCCUCGGCUAACCCCCCUAAACCCCUCGCGGGCUCGGGGGGGCACGCCGGUGUUGGGGCCCGGGGAGGCCUUCGCCCAAGGGCGUUGAUCCCACCCCGUCCCCUAAAUCCUAGGCGGACCGGUCGUUGACUUCCCUGCGUAGUACUAUUCAGCGCAGUCGCGGAGCCUCAGCCGGCCCAAUUGCCUCUAAACCGCCCGACCAACGUACAUGUUGACCUCGAAUCAGGUAGGAAUACCCGCUGAACUUAAGCAUAUCAAUAAGCGGAGGA